CCUACGGGCGGCAGCAGUGGGGAAUAUUGGACAAUGGGGGCAACCCUGAUCCAGCCAUGCCGCGUGUGUGAAGAAGGCCCUCGGGUUGUAAAGCACUUUCAGUGAGGAAGAACGCCUGGUGGUUAAUACCCAUCAGCAAAGACAUCACUCACAGAAGAAGCACCGGCUAACUCCGUGCCAGCAGCCGCGGUAAUACGGAGGGUGCGAGCGUUAAUCGGAAUUACUGGGCGUAAAGCGCGCGUAGGUGGCUUGAUAAGCCGGUUGUGAAAGCCCCGGGCUCAACCUGGGAACGGCAUCCGGAACUGUCAAGCUAGAGUGCAGGAGAGGAAGGUAGAAUUCCCGGUGUAGCGGUGAAAUGCGUAGAGAUCGGGAGGAAUACCAGUGGCGAAGGCGGCCUUCUGGACUGACACUGACACUGAGGUGCGAAAGCGUGGGUAGCAAACAGGAUUAGAUACCCUAGUAGUC
RNAcentral lists this ribosomal RNA (465 nucleotides) under Vreelandella stevensii. RNAcentral's name for it is "partial 16S ribosomal RNA". It matches the Rfam family "Bacterial small subunit ribosomal RNA", at positions 338 to 795 of the family's 1533-position model. Lineage: Bacteria; Pseudomonadati; Pseudomonadota; Gammaproteobacteria; Oceanospirillales; Halomonadaceae. The record is from RNAcentral.